Long non-coding RNA from Candoia aspera, 254 nucleotides. RefSeq lists it as uncharacterized. Lineage: Eukaryota; Metazoa; Chordata; Lepidosauria; Squamata; Candoiidae. The transcript has 2 exons. The record is from RefSeq and is a predicted model, not a curated record.
ACCCAGAGGUAAAUGUCCACAGCUUUGAUGUAGGAAACUCGAGGCAUGGAGGCAUUGACACCAGUGAUGAUGGUAGACAUGCACAUCACUUUUAAGACAUGAUGAGCAAUUAUAAAGCCCUUCUUGAAUCCAACAGUAAUCUUGCCAUGGAAAUCUCAUAUUUGUGAAUAUUUUGGUUAUAUAAUCUUCAUGGGUUAUAUAUCUUAAAUCUUCUUAUAGAUUUAAUUGUAAAAUAAUAUAUGCAUUAAUCUCAA